AGAGGAGAGGAGAGGACAUGGCCUGGGUAAGUGAGCAGUUUCUGAGUCUUUCCUGUCAAAGUUAGUCUUGAUUGGUGUUUGAUGGAGGAGCAGCCAUGAGGACAUUGAUGACUGAGGGUUAGAUGGAGGUCUGCAGCAGUGGAGGAGAUGACUGAUUAGAAAUCUGCAUGUUUAACACCCCGCCUCUUUACUUUGAAAGCACCCUGACUGGAGCUCAGUUCAGUUGCGGAUAUUGCAGAACAUGCACGCACGGUCGGCACGGCCAUGUCAACAAAGCAUGGAGAAACUGGGAUUACAACACAAACACAGAGGGAGAGCGACUUCAUUCUCUGCUCAGAUGACUGAUUAGAAAUCUGCCUCUUUACUUUGAAAGCACCCUGACUGGAGCUCAGGUCAGUUGCGGACAUUGCAGAGCUUCAGUCACACGCACCAUGAAGACCUUCACCUUGAUAACAGCUUUAACUCUCCGCAGCU
Molecule: long non-coding RNA, 474 nt
Organism: Sebastes umbrosus (honeycomb rockfish)
Lineage: Eukaryota; Metazoa; Chordata; Actinopteri; Perciformes; Sebastidae
Exons: 3
Source: RefSeq, a predicted model, not a curated record